This is an RNA transcript of Leptopilina heterotoma, 2815 nucleotides long. It is a transcript of the gene named putative gustatory receptor 28a, with no coding region annotated. NCBI's taxonomy places the organism in Eukaryota, Metazoa, Arthropoda, Insecta, Hymenoptera, Figitidae. The transcript is spliced from 8 exons. The record is from RefSeq and is a predicted model, not a curated record.
UGCUCUCUUUUCAGACAUUCAAAUUUAAUUGAUUUAUUUUCUAUUAUAUAUGAUUAAUAAUUAUCAAUCAAUCCAUUAAUUUAUUUAGAAUUGAGUAAAAUAUUUAACGUUUUAUUGAAAUGGUAUUAGAAACAAUGAAAUUAGAAAUCCAUUAAGACAAAUUUUUCAAGAUAAGUCUAAAAUAAUUAUUUGUGCAUUAAUCGAUUUUGAAUAUAAAUUUAUUUUUCCACAAUAACUUCUGUUCUAUAAUACAUAUUCUAACAAUGUCGACAAGUUCAAAAAGAAAAAGUCUAUCCCUAAAAUUCUAUUUUCUUUAUUAUUUUGAAAAAAUCUUCGGACUGUGUCCUCUGAAUUUUAACGAAAAAACAUAUUACAUUUCAAACACAAGCGUUUUAUAUACAAUUCUACUUUGCACCGUGUAUUCUUUUUUUUUCUAUAAAAAUAUCAUCAUCCGAUUGAAUAUGAUUUAUGGAAUUGAAAAUUCUGUCUCAGCAGUUUGGGAUCGAAUUUUGCAAAUUCUUCAAUAUAUCGUGAUUAUCGUAACUUGGAUCAAUUUUGGUUUUCGUCAGAAAAAAAUUAAGAAAAUAGUGAAACAUUUUCAUAGAACUAGUGAAAUUGCUGAAAAUUUAGGAAUACGAAACGAUAAUACUGAAAUAUGCCGAAUAAUUACUAAUUAUACAUUAAUUAUUAAUUUUCUUUAUUUUUCCCUUUUUUCCCUACAAUUACAUUUAAAUAUAAUGUUUCCCUCGGAUAGGGAGAAAUUUUAUUCUGGAAUAAAUUCUUUUUUUCGUAUUAUUUAUCAUAAUAUGUUCUUUCUCUUUGUGUCGGCUCUACAUAUUAUUUAUCGACGUUUUCGACAAUUGAAUAUUCAUGUUAAAUUUUUUAAGUUAUCGAAAAUUUCACGUAAACCACUUUACAGAGUUCUAAAUUAUCAAAUUUCAUUGACGAUGGAAAAAUACGGAAUAUUACACAACGAAUUACUUGAUCUUUUGGAUAAUAUAACGGAAUUUUUUUUCCUGCCAAUGUUAUUGACAAUGGCGACAAAUUUUCUCCAUAUUGUUGCAGCAAUAAAUGUCUUAUAUCUCAUAUUUCAAAAACUUGAAGAAUUUAACGCUAUGCUCCUGAAUAUAAUUUUUUACCUCUUAAUGUGGAUUUUCAUCAUUAAUUUCGAAUUUUUAGUAAUAUCUUCUGUUUCGGCCAAUUUGUGCGAAACGGCGAAUAAUUUUGGUAAUUGUCUUCAUAGAAUGUGGAUAACUUAUAACCCAGUUAAUUGUAAAAAAAUUUUCAAAAAAGUUUCUCUAAUGGUAAUUCAGAGAAGAGCUAAAGUUUCUCUAUGUGGAUUUCUAUCAAUGGACAAUGGAUUUUUUUAUCAGACUUGCGGAAUGAUUACAACCUAUCUUAUUAUUUUAUUGCAACUUGAUGACUUUCGAUAAUUUCUGUAUAUAUUCAUUAAAAAAACGAUGUUUACAAAACUUUCAAUCAAUUGACAUUGUGGGCAAUUAAUUCGAUUUUUCGAAUUUUAUAUCAUAAUAUGAUGUUUCUUUUUAUAACGAUUUUACAUAUUAUUUAUCGACGCUUUCGACAAUUGAAUAUUCAUUUAAAAUGUUUUAUUGUAUUUCACAAAAAUUCAGAGGAAGCACCUUCCAGUGAAGAGAAUGAUACAUCAUCAGAAGAUGAAAAUGAGGAGAUAAGAGAUGAAUAUUAUCUGAAAAUUUUGAAACCAAUUUUCAAAGGAAACAAUACUUUCGACGAGCAAUUGAAAUCAUUCUUGAGUGUAACUGCGUUAAAUGAAGUUGAAAUUGCAGCUUUUUAAUGAACCAAUUUGUCAGAAGUUGAAUCAAUUGUUUCGUCAAUCUUAUCCAUUGUCUGCGGCGCAUAGAUUUGGUUCAACGGUAACUGGAAUUAGUUUUCAAAACUGCGAUUUGGACAUAUAUUUGAACAUAGGUGAAUCAAUAAUUAGCAUCAAGGAUAAUAAGGAAAUGUUGGAUGAAAUAUUCUUGGAAGUGACGAACAUCUUGUUGAAAAAUGAAUUAUUUUACAAUAUUGUUCCCGUUUCGAAAGCUCGAGUACCAAUAAUUAAAUUUGUUCACGAACCAACGCAAAUUUGCUGCGAUUUAUCAUUCAACGGUUUGGGAUAUUACAACAGUCUUCUAAUAAAACAUUAUCUAUCGUUUCGACAGCAAACCCUGUGAAUGUAUGAGGGAGGAUUGGGUUCUAAUGACACCUGCUGGCAAGACAACAUAAGGCCAAUCAAUUUUUUUUUUUUUUAAAUAAUCUUCUUCGUAGCCAAUGAAUUUCUUUUGAUUAUGAGAUUCUUUCUUUUUUUCUUUCACUCAAAUAAAUAAUAUUUUUAAAAAUUCAAUAUUGUGCAAAAAUCCCAAAAAAGAAGAAUAAUAAAAGAACGAAAGUUUACUAUUUAAUUCCUCAUUAUUCCGAGUCAUCCUCAACAAUUUUUUCGAAAUCUGAUCAACAUUCAAUUCAUCGUGACUAAAUGAAAUGCCGAGAAUUUGUGCAAUCUCAGUUUUUAAACGUGUUAAACAUUCAUUUAGUUCGCGUCGGAAAUUUUUUGCAAUAUCAAUAUCCUUUUCAAUUGUUUCCGAAAUAAUUUCCUUUAUUUUUUGUUUCUCAUUACUUGACGGUGAAUUAUCGUCACAUUGUGAAUUUAAUUUCUGAGGUGUUCUUCUCUCGAGGACUUCACUUCACUGAUAAAUGAAUUAUUCACUUCGUCCUCGCAAAUUGCAAAGUAAUUUAUCAAAUCAGUAAUUACGUUCUUCAAUGUUUUGCAAGUUCUGAUUAAGUUGUUUCUGAAAAAAUU